GACGGGACCGCACAAGCGGUGGAUGAUGUGGAUAAUUCGAUGCAACGCGAAAACCUUACCUACCCUUGACAUGCUAGGAACUUGCCAGAGAUGGCUUGGUGCCCGAAAGGGAACCUAGACACAGGUGCUGCAUGGCUGUCGUCAGCUCGUGUCGUGAGAUGUUGGGUUAAGUCCCGCAACGAGCGCAACCCUUGUCAUUAAUUGCCAUCAUUCAGUUGGGCACUUUAAUGAGACUGCCGGUGACAAACCGGAGGAAGGUGGGGAUGACGUCAAGUCCUCAUGGCCCUUAUGGGUAGGGCUUCACACGUAAUACAAUGGUCGGUACAGAGGGUUGCCAACCCGCGAGGGGGAGCCAAUCCCAGAAAACCGAUCGUAGUCCGGAUUGCAGUCUGCAACUCGACUGCAUGAAGUCGGAAUCGCUAGUAAUCGUGGAUCAGCAUGUCACGGUGAAUACGUUCCCGGGUCUU
This 467-nucleotide ribosomal RNA is filed under the name uncultured Thiobacillus sp. RNAcentral's name for it is "bacterial SSU rRNA". It matches the Rfam family "Bacterial small subunit ribosomal RNA", at positions 917 to 1381 of the family's 1533-position model. Lineage: Bacteria; Pseudomonadati; Pseudomonadota; Betaproteobacteria; Nitrosomonadales; Thiobacillaceae. The record is from RNAcentral.